This 481-nucleotide ribosomal RNA is filed under the name uncultured bacterium. RNAcentral's name for it is "bacterial SSU rRNA". It matches the Rfam family "Bacterial small subunit ribosomal RNA", at positions 29 to 503 of the family's 1533-position model. The record is from RNAcentral.
AUUGAACGCUGGCGGCGUGCCUAACACAUGCAAGUCGAGCGGUAACAGGUGUAGCAAUACAUGCUGACGAGCGGCGGACGGGUGAGUAACGCUUGGGAAUCUGCCUGUUAGUGGGGGACAACCCGGGGAAACUCGGGCUAAUACCGCAUACGCACUACGGUGGAAAGCCGGGGACCGCAAGGCCUGGCGCUAACAGAUGAGCCCAAGUCGGAUUAGCUAGUUGGUAGGGAACGGCCUACCAAGGCGACGAUCCGUAACUGGUCUGAGAGGACGACCAGUCACACCGGAACUGAGACACGGUCCGGACUCCUACGGGAGGCAGCAGUGGGGAAUAUUGGACAAUGGGCGAAAGCCUGAUCCAGCGACGCCGCGUGGGUGAAGAAGGCCUGCGGGUUGUAAAGCCCUUUCGGUGGGGAAGAAAAGCCUCGAGUUAAUACCUCGGGGUCUUGACGUAACCCAUAGAAGAAGCACCGGCUAACUC